RNAcentral lists this long non-coding RNA (1348 nucleotides) under Homo sapiens (human). Its description in RNAcentral is "HSALNT0111542". The record is from RNAcentral. Lineage: Eukaryota; Metazoa; Chordata; Mammalia; Primates; Hominidae.
CUUUAUUCAUAACAGCCCAAACUGGAAACAAUCCAAAUGUUCAGCACCUAGUGAAUGGUAUAUCCAUAUAAUGGAUAAAUGCAUAUAAUGCAAUUAAAAAAAAACAUUAACUCAUACGACAAUGUGGAUGACACUUAACUACGUAACACAUGGUUCCAUUUAUAAGAAAGUCUAGAAAUGGCAAAACUAUAAGUGAUUACAGUGAUAUAGCAGAUAAGUGGUUGUGAGGGACCAGGAAUAGCGAGAGAGGUUUUACUAAAAGGAGCACAAGGGAACUUUUUAGGGUGAUAGAAAUAUUUUAUAUACCAUGACUGUGGUGAUGAUGGUUAUAUGACGGCAUACGUUUGUCAUAACUCGUCUAAUUGGUCCAUUUUAUUAUAUGUAAAUUAUACCUCAAUAAACGUGAUUAAAGAAAAAGAACAGGGGAAUAAACAUAUUUGCCCCUCAUAUUACCUGUCACUCACCAGAAUUUAUCAACACCUGACAGAAAAUAGCAAUAGGUAGGAAAGUAAAAAUGUGGAAAUCACUGGAAAGAGCAAGAAAUUGAUAAGAAUUAUGCAGUCAAGAUAAAAGCAAUGUCAUUCUUUACAUAUUUUAAUAUAUAAUAAUGUAAUACAUAAAUAUAUAUUUUAACCAUUCAAUAAUAAGAACAAUCUGAUUCUAAAAGAGACCUUCAUCAAUCCAAAAUAUCACCUGCUUUAUCAAAACAGUAUUUCUUAGAGUAGAUUCUAAGGGUUACCUAAAUCACAGGCAUCAACAUAUUUCUGGGCACCAUCCCAGACCUACUCCAUCCAUCACACACUCUUAGGUAAAAAUAAGACCCCAUUUUAAACUGUUUCCAGAUAAAUUAUUUUGCAAAUUUAGUCUCACAGAAUGACUUUAUUAGAAGUUCUAAUGUACACGUGUGUACUCACACAUAUAUAUCAACUGGGUUUGCAAUUAUGCCAGGUUGAUAGUAUUCAAUAGCACAUAUACUUUCCUUAUAGGAAAAUAGAGGUAUCUCCAUUUCAUGGAGACGUAGGGGGCUCAAAUGAGAUUAUCUAUAACAUAAGAUACACUCAAGGUUGUACUGUUCCCCAGUCAUCCUGGACUUGGAUAGGAACAUCAUUCUAAGCAGGUAAAAAAGACUUUUUGACCUUACCAAGCCUGAAGUCUCACAAUGCCAUACUGCCUCUCUUUUACCACUAUAUACUGCUUAGUAGCAGGUGACAACCACUUUAGUUAUUAAUUUUAGUUAAUAUUUAUAUUAUCACAAGAAUAUUUCCUUUAAAUAUGUGAUAUUUUAAAGUUAUGUGCUACAGCUGGGUGCGGUGGCUCACGUCUAUAAUCCCAGCACUUUGGGAGGCUG